This is a long non-coding RNA of Archocentrus centrarchus (flier cichlid), 2042 nucleotides long. RefSeq lists it as uncharacterized. The transcript is spliced from 5 exons. NCBI's taxonomy places the organism in Eukaryota, Metazoa, Chordata, Actinopteri, Cichliformes, Cichlidae. The record is from RefSeq and is a predicted model, not a curated record.
UAUCAAGCAACUCCAGAUGAUAUUACACUAAAUCUGCAAUUGAAUUCUUUGGUUACGCUUUACAAGACUGCGCCGUGCAAAACAGGAGAGAUUCUGUGGAUGUAUUAUCAAGAUUCAGGCCUAUUUAAAGGAUUUAAGAACAAAGGAUUAAAGAAUCAAAGCCUUUGUGAUGACACUACUGUUUAGGUUUGAAUUGUGGUGACAUUCCAGAGGACUCUGAUAUCACCAGGUAUGUUUAAACAUAAACAUUGUUGUUGCCGUGGCAUCUUUUUUCUUUUAAAUAACAGCUGCUUCAAUGGGCUAUAUGCCACUGACAUCCGUUUUAGCACUUCCGCAUCAUUUGGCCACAUUGAUCACUUCCGGUGCGCAGGUAACGAUAGUUCAGCAAUGGCGUUUUUCACCCGGUCGCUGCUGGACUUGCCGGCAUUGACUAUUAAUGAUGUUUACAGAAUUAUUCAGACCUUUUCGAAAGCUCCCACGUCCAAAAACAUCCAUAAAAGACUUCGAAGUUUCAAACAAGGAGGCAGGAGAAGUCACAAUUAGGGCUGAGUGCUUCAGGUCCAUGAGGAAGAGCCAGAAGCCUCAUUGUUUGAGUAUGGCGCUGAGGGGAUGCAAAGCCGGUGGAGUUAUAGGAAUGCCAGUGCAGCCACGUGGCAGCUCUGUUAUUCCAGACGGCCCACUACUCACAGUUGAAGCUUCCAGCUGUUCCUCCAGUCUUAAGCUGCACAGACACUGAACAGAAGUGGCACAAACCAAGGACCAUGAGCAUAAAACCUGGUCCAGUAAAUGACAUGGUCAUCCUGUCAGCAAGACCAAGAGAGAGGAAAAUCUUUGAGGGAAUUAGAAGCACGUUGUAUAAAGGUGCUACCUGCUCUCUGCCAGUCAUCUCCACCCUAAAGAUUAAGGAUAUGUACCAGGGACUUGCUGCUGAAGAAGCACCAUUGAUUACUACAAUGGCUGUCUCCAGUGAUGUUCCUCUUGUUGACUCCAUGUUUGGUCCUGUACAAGAGGGAAGUGUGCUGUCCUAGCAGCUGCCAGCAAGGACCGUUCCCAGGACCCAUCCACACCAAGACGCCCCCUCUCCCCCACAGCUUCCUUUGUCCAAUUACAGGCAUGGACCCUCCACCUGUGCGUAUGUCUGUUCAGAACAUGAGCACCAUCAUAUGGCAUCCCUUGAAACAACAUUUGAGAUGGCUCACAAAAUUGAGAGGAGCACGCGGGAGCAGAGUUUCUGUGCAGAGUGGCACCAACUAAGGAAGUGUCGUGUUACAUCAAAAUUUAGAGAUGUCUGUCACAGCUCUUCUGAAAGUCUUGCCAAAAGGCUUCUGAGAGCCUCCAGUCAGACUGCUGACAUGUGACGGGGGUUUGCACUGGAGCCAAUAGCAGUAGAGGAGUACUGCAGGGUAAGGGAAGUAAACCACUACCCCUGUGGGUUCCUGAUCCAUGCCGAUGCACCGUGGAUGGGGUCAUCACCGGAUGGGAUCAUUUACAACCAGCAUUUGGCCUUUUAGAAAUAAAAUGCCCAAAUGUAACAAGCUAUGUAGGCUGCUCUUACAUAAUGAUUAGGGAUGGUAGACACACACUCAAACAAAUACAUCCAUAUUACUGGCAGAUCCAGGGACAGGUGCUUAUUUCAGGGUGUGACUUUGCCAUAUAUACAGAAAAUGACAUGUUUAUUGAGAGGAUUCCCCGUGACAUUGAAGUAGUUCAAACCAUAAAAGAAAAAGUUGACCAUUUCUUUUAUUUUUACCUCAAUGCUUACCUGGCUUAAGGUGGCUCUGUACAUCUUCUGAACCAUUCAAAACAUAGGUUAAAUAUACUGUUCCAUAGCUGUUCAUACCUGUGUCAUGUUCCUGUUUGUGAUUUAUUGUAAAAUUUUUAAUCAAUUAGCUUUUUUUCUCUUUAAAAUCAGAUGAAAUCAAUUUUGUUUGUAGGAGUGUCUAUAGGAGUGGCAUUUUUGAGCACAGUACAGGAUUAGUUUAUAUUUCAUACUGUUUAUAUAAGCAAAACCACUGUUACAAUUUUUUUUAAUAGUUCAAAGA